RNAcentral lists this long non-coding RNA (208 nucleotides) under Felis catus (domestic cat). RNAcentral's name for it is "lncRNA (ENSFCAG00000047738.1)". The record is from RNAcentral. Lineage: Eukaryota; Metazoa; Chordata; Mammalia; Carnivora; Felidae.
AAGAUUUGGAGCUAAGCCCUCCCUUCUCCCUGUGGGGAAAAAAAACCCUCAACCCAGGCUGGGGAAGGGAGGGUUUAUUUGCUCACUCGCCUUUUUUUCCCCCCUAGGUCGUUGUUAUCGGUCAUAGUUUUCAUUGACUACGGAGUCAAACUGUAUUCCUUUCCUGAACUGACAGAGCAUGACUGAUCGGAGGCGGGGGCGCGGCGCA